AUGUAAAUUCUUAGAGCAUAGCGUUAAUGCACCAAAUCCCAUUAUAACUCCACGGUUAAGCGUGCUCGGGCUAGAGUAGUAUUGGGAUGAGCGAACACCCGAGAAUUCCUAGUGUUUUACAUG
Picea glauca (white spruce) is the source of this 123-nucleotide non-coding RNA. The record is from Rfam. Lineage: Eukaryota; Viridiplantae; Streptophyta; Pinopsida; Pinales; Pinaceae.